CCUACGGGUGGCAGCAGUAGGGAAUCUUCCACAAUGGGCGAAAGCCUGAUGGAGCAACGCCGCGUGGGUGAAGAAGGUCUUCGGAUCGUAAAACCCUGUUGUUAGAGAAGAAAGUGCGUGAGAGUAACUGUUCACGUUUCGACGGUAUCUAACCAGAAAGCCACGGCUAACUACGUGCCAGCAGCCGCGGUAAUACGUAGGUGGCAAGCGUUAUCCGGAUUUAUUGGGCGUAAAGGGAACGCAGGCGGUCUUUUAAGUCUGAUGUGAAAGCCUUCGGCUUAACCGGAGUAGUGCAUUGGAAACUGGGAGACUUGAGUGCAGAAGAGGAGAGUGGAACUCCAUGUGUAGCGGUGAAAUGCGUAGAUAUAUGGAAGAACACCAGUGGCGAAAGCGGCUCUCUGGACUGUAACUGACGUUGAGGCUCGAAAGCGUGGGGAGCAAACAGGAUUAGAUACCCUUGUAGUC
This 465-nucleotide ribosomal RNA is filed under the name uncultured bacterium. RNAcentral describes it as "partial 16S ribosomal RNA". It matches the Rfam family "Bacterial small subunit ribosomal RNA", at positions 338 to 795 of the family's 1533-position model. The record is from RNAcentral.